GGGGCCGUAGCUCAGUUGGGAGAGCGCUGCGUUCGCAAUGCAGAGGUCAGGGGUUCGACUCCCCUCGGCUCCACCA
RNAcentral lists this transfer RNA (76 nucleotides) under Calditrichota bacterium. Its description in RNAcentral is "Calditrichaeota bacterium tRNA-Ala". It matches the Rfam family "tRNA". From Rfam's summary of the family: Transfer RNA (tRNA) molecules are approximately 80 nucleotides in length. RNAcentral also lists the same sequence under 1 other name. The record is from RNAcentral. Lineage: Bacteria; Pseudomonadati; Calditrichota.